Long non-coding RNA from Anarrhichthys ocellatus (wolf-eel), 2292 nucleotides. RefSeq lists it as uncharacterized. The transcript has 2 exons. The record is from RefSeq and is a predicted model, not a curated record. Lineage: Eukaryota; Metazoa; Chordata; Actinopteri; Perciformes; Anarhichadidae.
UCCCCACCCUUCUACCCUCCUUUUUCUCCCCUUCCCUUGGCAGCAGUGCCAAAGUGGGCAGGCAGACCGAGGCAAACACAGCACAGGGCAGAGCAGAGGGCGAUCCAAAGGCUGGCGAAUUGAUUAUGUGGCUGUGUGAGAGCAGACGUCCCUCUGUCACCCUGUGUGCGGACAGACGCACUCACGCCAGUAGGAGGGGAUUGUGGGAAGGGGGUGUAGCUCUCAGAGGGUGUGCUCUACUCCUCUCUUUUCCCUUCUUCCCGCCAUCACGGCCCUCUUCUCCUCCAGUCCUCUGGCCCAGCCCGCCGCUCACGUACAGGCUCCAGGUAUUUUUCUUUUUUAUCCUGCGACACCGCUUCCCAUCUUUUCCACAGCCCUAUAAUCUUUCUCCUUCGGUUCCUCUCACCCUCAUCUCUGUCCUUCAUCGUGGUCUUCCUCCUGUAAAUGUGUCUAUCGUCGUCAGUUGCCACGCUGCAAUCAGCUCGCCGCCAUUUUGGCUCCAUGGAUAUAGCAGGAGAAACUUUUCUGGAGCUCAGGGGGACUCCUCGGCUCCCUGCUGACCAUCUUCUUUCUCCUGCUUCCAUUAUCUCUUUUUUUCUCUCUGUCCCUGUCCUCUUCCUCUCCCCUCUCUGCUCUCUGCUCUAGGACAGCAGGCUCUGACAGGGUGGCAAACAGUCUUUCUGUGGCUUUUCGUACCAAACAGGUGUCUCUUUGUAGACUGGCAGGAGGAAGGACAGGCCUCCGCGGGUUACUUUCUGACCUCAAAGGGUCGAUCGAGCCACAGAGCUGUUGUUGUGUUCAGGUCAGUGCAAGUUGAGCUGCACCCACAGGACAAGAGAGACACUUGGCAGGUCUCUUAUCACCCAGAGCAGUUAUGAUAGCUAGUGUAAGGGCAAUAUUGACACGGUUUGCCUCCACAUGCAUGUUUGCACUUUCUGCCACCGUUAGAACUCAGAUAUGCGGUCGUUGAUUCACAGGAACAUGCCCGUUUAUGCGCAAGGUUUAUCUUUCUGCGAUCUAGAGGUGCGACAGUUUGUUCAAAGGUGGCAACUGUAACGUUUGCCUUGACACCCUGCGUCAUCGGCUACUGUUUAUGAUACUUUGCACUUCAGAGGAACCUGAGGCAGAAAUGAAACCGAGUUAGGUCAAACAAACAGACGACGCUGUAGAGAAAUGUUGGUGUUCGUCAGUAGUUCUUCCUCAUUGUAUCAGUAAAGCUGUUGAUCUAUUUUCACCAGCGUCACCUGCCUGUUGAAAAAGAACAAAAAGAGAACAGCAGCAUUUGUCCGAUUGAUGUUUAUCCUCAUAUUGCAUAUUUUGAUUACAGGGGCCAGAAUGCCAUUAAACAAAAGCAUAUAUUAUUGUUGCAUUCGCCGAAGUAGAUAAAACAGGGUGUGUGAAUUCAUCGACGACCGAUUUGAUCUUUCAACCGACUUUCAGACGGGAAAUUUAAUACAGAUUGAACGAUCUCAUAUACCUGCAUAUUGCAUGUACUAUCAGGACUCUUAACUUGACUGCUUAUUGUUAGUGCUGUAUCUUGAUCUAAAUAAGGGUUGGUGUUAAGAUGGCGCCUUCGUGCCACGUGUUUGUGAAACAGUGAAUAUGGGUAGACCCUUUCAACAUACCCCUCACCGUCAUCACAUCUCGUGGGUACAUUACUCCUAAUUCCCCUGCAUCACCCUCUGUCAUUUAAAAUCAAUCAGCGUUGGCAUUAAGCAGCAAAUGAGUUUACCAAAAAAGAACCUCCAAAAGAACCUCUCCUCAUGAACAUCGACAUGUGACUGGGACAAAAGGAAAAUGUUAAUAAGAAAGAAGAAGCUGUAGAAAAAGAGAGAGAACAAGGGCGACAGAGACAGAAAGAGAGGUAGGAGUAGGAGAGCUCUUUCCCCGCCCCUCUCGUAUCCUCAGAUGAACUUAUCGUGUUGCCUCAUAAAGUUUCUGAGUUUUUUCUCCUAGAGGCAGUCAGGGUAACUUCCUGCAUUCAGCCUAAACAUAGCUGAUUGGUUGAUAUCUUGGCUGACCAGCCGCAGUUUGCAGCGAGGCAACAGGAAGUUUCUCUUCUCAUGCAGGAAGCAGCAGCUGUUUCAUCCUGACCUACACCACUUUGCACUCUUGCACGCAUAGUCUUUGUAUACAUGCGUACAAAUAUGCACGCACACCCUGUGUAUGUGUAUGUGCGCGAGUGUCGAUGGCCUGCUCUGUGUUGCAUUAGCGAAUGCUAUAACAUGUAGGCGUGUAGCACCAUGGUAACCGCAUAUCUUAUCAGAACAUUAGCAAAAGCAUAGACAAGUG